GAUGAACGCUGGCGGCGUGCCUAACACAUGCCAGUCGAACGAAGCUUGACGGAUGAUUUCUUCGGAAUGAAACCAGAUAUGACUUAGUGGCGGACGGGUGAGUAACACGUGAGCAACCUGCCUUUCAGAGGGGGAUAACGGCUGGAAACGGUCGCUAAUACCGCAUGAUGUGUUCGGAUGGCAUCAUCUGAACAUCAAAGAUUUAUCGCUGAAAGAUGGGCUCGCGUCUGAUUAGAUAGUUGGUGGGGUAACGGCCUACCAAGUCUACGAUCAGUAGCCGGACUGAGAGGUUGAACGGCCACAUUGGGACUGGGAUACGGCCCAGACUCCUACGGGAGGCAGCAGUGGGGAAUAUUGCACAAUGGGGGAAACCCUGAUGCAGCAACGCCGCGUGAAGGAUGACGGUUUUCGGAGUGUAAACUUCUUUUCUUAGUGACGAAGACAGUGACGGUAGCUAAGGAAUAAGCAUCGGCUAACUACGUG
RNAcentral lists this ribosomal RNA (483 nucleotides) under uncultured bacterium. Its description in RNAcentral is "partial 16S ribosomal RNA". It matches the Rfam family "Bacterial small subunit ribosomal RNA", at positions 28 to 507 of the family's 1533-position model. The record is from RNAcentral.